Megalobrama amblycephala (Wuchang bream) is the source of this 1288-nucleotide long non-coding RNA. RefSeq lists it as uncharacterized. Lineage: Eukaryota; Metazoa; Chordata; Actinopteri; Cypriniformes; Xenocyprididae. The transcript has 2 exons. The record is from RefSeq and is a predicted model, not a curated record.
UUGUGUAUAUUCAUAAACACCAUCAUCUGACACUGAAAGAGAAACAUCCCAGGACAAAGAAAAUCCUGGUAAGAUCCAACAGAUCCAUUUCUCAGUUUGAGUUGAAAGUGAUCACAUGACACAGCUAUAAAGAUGAGUGUCAGAUGUACAGCAUGUGUAUGAAUGCUUGUAGAUGAAUGUCAUGUGAUCACCUUGUUUCUCUGUGACAAUCUCUUUGCUUGAUUUCAGGCUCUUCUCUGAUAGUUGCUGUUUCUGUGGGUUUGAUCCUGCUGGCUGUGUGUUUAGCGCUCGUGUUGCUCAAAAUAAAAUACAACCGUAAACACGGCAUCGUUUCAUCGACUCCAGCACAAUUACCCACAAUCCCCUCUGAUGGGCUCCUGUUCACUGCUGUCAGUUUCCAGAAGCAUGAAGAGUCUCUCAGUGACGCUGCUCUCGCCUUCAGCAACGAGGAGAUUCACUCGGAUUACACCACGGUCAUUUACCACAUUGUGCCAAAUUCAUUUUAGUUCAGCCUAAAGAAACUCUGGAAUGAAAUGUAUUUUGAUUCAUUUGUUUCGCUCAAGCUUCCCCAAACACUUAAUCAGGCCUCUAUUUCUCUAAUUUUAAAGAAAAAUAAAGAUCCCUUGCAUUGCACUUCUUAUCGGCCGAUCAGCCUUCUUAAUGUUAACUUUAAACUCUUGUCUAAGUUGCUGGCUUUACGGCUAGAAUUCGUGCUACCAACCAUAAUUUCUCCAGAGCAGACAGACAUUCAUUUUUUAAUAUUAGAAAACUGUUCAACAUUGUAUAUAAUCCCUCUUCUUCUUCUGUCCUGGAGGCAAUAAUUUCAUUAAAUGCAGAGAAAGCUUUUGUCCGGGUGGAGUGGAAAUAUCUCUUUUACACUCUAGAGAAAUUUGGCUUUGGUGAUGAAUUUAUUUCUUGGGUGAGGUUAUUAUAUUCUGCCCCCCAAGCAUCUGUCAGAACCGACAAUACCCGUUCUGACUAUUUUUCCCUCCACCGGUCGACUUGCCAGGGAUGUCCCUUGAGUCCACUCCUCUUUGCCAUCGCUAUCGAACCCCUUGCUAUUGCACUGUGGUUUGAUUCAUCUAUAGAAGGCAUAAAAAGAAUGGGUACAGAGCAAAAAGUGUCUUUGUAUGCGGAUGAUCUCCUCCUUUAUAUUUCUGAUUUGGCUAGGUCGAUACCGGCAGCUCUUAAUAUUUUGAAAUCAUUCGGAAUAAUUUCUGGUUACAAAUUAAAUCUGAACAAAAGUGAAAUUUUUCCACUGAAUUCUGCAGCUAGGGACUAUCCUUUA